This 719-nucleotide ribosomal RNA is filed under the name Photobacterium damselae. Its description in RNAcentral is "partial 16S ribosomal RNA". It matches the Rfam family "Bacterial small subunit ribosomal RNA", at positions 62 to 773 of the family's 1533-position model. The record is from RNAcentral. Lineage: Bacteria; Pseudomonadati; Pseudomonadota; Gammaproteobacteria; Vibrionales; Vibrionaceae.
CUUAACUGAACCUUCGGGGAACGUUAAGGGCGGCGAGCGGCGGANGGGUGANUAAUGCCUGGGAAUAUGCCCUGAUGUGGGGGAUAACUAUUGGAAACGAUAGCUAAUACCGCAUAAUCUCUUCGGAGCAAAGAGGGGGACCUUCGGGCCUCUCGCGUCAGGAUUAGCCCAGGUGGGAUUAGCUUGUUGGUGAGGUAAUGGCUCACCAAGGCAACGAUCCCUAGCUGGUCUGAGAGGAUGAUCAGCCACACUGGAACUGAGACACGGUCCAGACUCCUACGGGAGGCAGCAGUGGGGAAUAUUGCACAAUGGGGGAAACCCUGAUGCAGCCAUGCCGCGUGUGUGAAGAAGGCCUUCGGGUUGUAAAGCACUUUCAGUAGGGAGGAAGGUAGUGUAGUUAACACCUGCAUUAUUUGACGUUACCUACAGAAGAAGCACCGGCUAACUCCGUGCCAGCAGCCGCGGUAAUACGGAGGGUGCGAGCGUUAAUCNNAAUUACUGGGCGUAAAGCGCAUGCANGCGGCCUGUUAAGUCANAUGUGAAAGCCCGGGGCUUAACCUCGGAAUUGCAUUUGAAACUGGCAGGCUANAGUCUUGUANAGGGGGGUANAAUUUCNNGUGUANCGGUGAAAUGCNUANANNUCUGANNNAAUACCNNUGGCNAANGCGGCCCCCUGNACNANNACUGACGCUCANANGCGAAAGCGUGGGGGAGCAAAC